AUUGAACGCUGGCGGCAUGCCUUACACAUGCAAGUCGAACGGUAGCGGGCCUUCGGGUGCCGACGAGUGGCGAACGGGUGAGUAAUGUAUCGGAACGUACCAUUGAGUGGGGAUAACGUAGCGAAAGUUACGCUAAUACCGCAUAUUCUCUCCGGAGGAAAGCAGGGGACCGCAAGGCCUUGCGCUCUUUGAGCGGCCGAUAUCAGAUUAGCUAGUUGGUGAGGUAAAGGCUCACCAAGGCGACGAUCUGUAGCGGGUCUGAGAGGAUGAUCCGCCACACUGGAACUGAGACACGGUCCAGACUCCUACGGGAGGCAGCAGUGGGGAAUUUUGGACAAUGGGGGCAACCCUGAUCCAGCCAUGCCGCGUGAGUGAAGAAGGCCUUCGGGUUGUAAAAGCUCUUUCGGCCGGGAAGAAAUCGCAUGGGUUAAUACCCUGUGCGGAUGACGGUACCGGCAUAAGAAGCACCGGCUAACUACGUGCCAGCAGCCGCGGUAAUACGUAGGGUGCGAGCG
RNAcentral lists this ribosomal RNA (515 nucleotides) under uncultured bacterium. RNAcentral's name for it is "bacterial SSU rRNA". It matches the Rfam family "Bacterial small subunit ribosomal RNA", at positions 30 to 540 of the family's 1533-position model. The record is from RNAcentral.